CGGAGUUUUAAAUGGAAGUCCUCGGAUGGAAGUUAGAAACUAGUGGCGGACGGGUGAGUAACGCGUGGGUAACCUGCCUCAUACAGGGGGAUAACAGUCGGAAACGACUGCUAACACCGCAUAAUAUAGCGAAACCGCAUGAUUUUGCUAUCAAAUAUUUAUAGGGUAUGAGAUGGGCCCGCGUCUGAUUAGCUAGUUGGUGGGGUAAAGGCCUACCAAGGCGACGAUCAGUAGCCGGCUUGAGAGAGUGACCGGCCACAUUGGGACUGAGACACGGCCCAAACUCCUACGGGAGGCAGCAGUGGGGAAUAUUGGACAAUGGGGGAAACCCUGAUCCAGCCGACGCCGCGUGAGUGAAGAAGUAUUUCGGUAUGUAAAGCUCUAUCAGCAGGGAAGAUAAUGACAGUACCUGACUAAGAAGCCCCGGCUAACUACGUGCCAGCCGCCGC
Molecule: ribosomal RNA, 449 nt
Filed under: uncultured bacterium
Lineage: Bacteria
Description: bacterial SSU rRNA
Rfam family: Bacterial small subunit ribosomal RNA
Source: RNAcentral